GAUGAACGCUGGCGGCGUGCCUAAUACAUGCAAGUCGAGCGAACAGACGAGGAGCUUGCUCCUCUGACGUUAGCGGCGGACGGGUGAGUAACACGUGGAUAACCUACCUAUAAGACUGGGAUAACUUCGGGAAACCGGAGCUAAUACCGGAUAAUAUAUUGAACCGCAUGGUUCAAUAGUGAAAGACGGUUUUGCUGUCACUUAUAGAUGGAUCCGCGCCGCAUUAGCUAGUUGUUAAGGUAACGGCUUACCAAGGCGACGAUGCGUAGCCGACCUGAGAGGGUGAUCGGCCACCCUGGAACUGAGACACGGUCCAGACUCCUACGGGAGGCAGCAGUAGGGAAUCUUCCGCAAUGGGCGAAAGCCUGACGGAGCAACGCCGCGUGAGUGAUGAAGGUCUUCGGAUCGUAAAACUCUGUUAUUAGGGAAGAACAAAUGUGUAAGUAACUAUGCACGUCUUGACGGUACCUAAUCAGAAAGCCACGGCUAACUACGUG
This 497-nucleotide ribosomal RNA is filed under the name uncultured bacterium. Its description in RNAcentral is "partial 16S ribosomal RNA". It matches the Rfam family "Bacterial small subunit ribosomal RNA", at positions 28 to 507 of the family's 1533-position model. The record is from RNAcentral.